AUGGUGAAAUUCAAAGAUAAGAACAUUCAUGUUCAUUUCAAAUAUGAGCGAUUACCCACCUUCUGUUAUGUUUGCGGGAGAAUAGGGCACCAGAUGAAGGUUUGUGAUACAUUGGAGGAUCUUAAUGAAGAAGGCUUUAAAGAUCUUGAUAAGCUAGAACUUUUGUUCAUUCAUCAUUCUUGGAUUGUGGAACUAGGAUUUUGGAUCACAAGCAGCAUGAGCACCUUCCUUGGAAAAAUUCCUCAAGAUACAAAGUUAUCUUCAUCAAGAUUCUUCAAAGAGCAAUAA
Molecule: non-coding RNA, 288 nt
Organism: Vicia faba (fava bean)
Lineage: Eukaryota; Viridiplantae; Streptophyta; Magnoliopsida; Fabales; Fabaceae
Source: the annotation of a GenBank genome assembly